GGUAGUCCACGCCGUAAACGGUGGGCACUAGUUGUGGGGACCUUCCACGGUCUCUGCGACGCAGCUAACGCAUUAAGUGCCCCGCCUGGGGAGUACGAUCGCAAGAUUAAAACUCAAAGGAAUUGACGGGGCCCCGCACAAGCAGCGGAGCAUGCGGCUUAAUUCGACGCAACGCGAAGAACCUUACCAAGGCUUGACAUAUACAGGAAUAUGGCAGAGAUGUCAUAGCCGCAAGGUCUGUAUACAGGUGGUGCAUGGUUGUCGUCAGCUCGUGUCGUGAGAUGUUGGGUUAAGUCCCGCAACGAGCGCAACCCUCGUUCUGUGUUGCCAGCAUUAAGUUGGGGACUCACAGGAGACUGCCGGGGUUAACUCGGAGGAAGGUGGGGAUGACGUCAAAUCAUCAUGCCCCUUAUGUCUUGGGCUGCACGCAUGCUACAAUGGCUGGUACAAACGGCUGCGAUACCGCAAGGUGGAGCGAAUCCGAUAAAGCCAGUCUCAGUUCGGAUUGGGGUCUGCAACUCGACCCCAUGAAGUCGGAGUUGCUAGUAAUCGUAGAUCAGCAACGCUACGGUGAAUACGUUCCCGGGGCUUGUACACACCGCCCGUCACGUCACGAAAGUCGGUAACACCCGAAGUCAGUGGCCCAACC
This 649-nucleotide ribosomal RNA is filed under the name uncultured Actinomycetes bacterium. RNAcentral's name for it is "bacterial SSU rRNA". It matches the Rfam family "Bacterial small subunit ribosomal RNA", at positions 789 to 1440 of the family's 1533-position model. The record is from RNAcentral. Lineage: Bacteria; Bacillati; Actinomycetota; Actinomycetes.